RNAcentral lists this ribosomal RNA (484 nucleotides) under uncultured bacterium. RNAcentral's name for it is "partial 16S ribosomal RNA". It matches the Rfam family "Bacterial small subunit ribosomal RNA", at positions 29 to 507 of the family's 1533-position model. The record is from RNAcentral.
AGUGAACGCUGGCGGCAGGCCUAACACAUGCAAGUCGAGCGGCAGCGCGGGGGCAACCCUGGCGGCGAGCGGCGGACGGGUGAGGAAUUCGUCGGAAUCUGCCUUUUUGUGGGGGAUAACGUAGGGAAACUUACGCUAAUACCGCAUACGUCCUACGGGAGAAAGUGGGGGACCGCAAGGCCUCACGCAGAAAGAUGAGCCGACGACCGAUUAGCUAGUUGGUGGGGUAAAGGCCCACCAAGGCGACGAUCGGUAGCUGGUCUGAGAGGAUGAUCAGCCACACUGGGACUGAGACACGGCCCAGACUCCUACGGGAGGCAGCAGUGGGGAAUAUUGGACAAUGGGCGCAAGCCUGAUCCAGCCAUGCCGCGUGUGUGAAGAAGGCCUUCGGGUUGUAAAGCACUUUUGUCCGGAAAGAAAUCCCUGGAGCUAAUACCUUCGGGGGAUGACGGUACCGGAAGAAUAAUCACCGGCUAACUUCGUG